CAUCGGCAGGGCUUCCACUUGUCCCCUAUCUAAUUACUAUGCAAAUGUCUUCACAACCCACAUCCUAAUCUUCGACCCUUGAAUGAUGCAUGGAGUUGCUGUCAUCCUUUUGUCCUAGAAUCACAGUGGCAUCCUGCACGGCCCGACAGACGGAUCUUGAAUGGUCUCUACCAGGCAUGAACACCACAGUUGAUGAGAUUGCCCAGUGGGCUUCGCUAGGAGUUUCUGGACAAUACUCUGAGCUUUCAUGGCUAUUGCUCAUGCAGAUCAUACAUUUGCUGGAUCUACAUAGUUAAAUGGCCUAAAGGUUGAUUUAUUUCUCUAUAGCGGAAUUUGUCAGCUGGUCUGGAAGUCAGCGGACAAACCACUCAUGCACAUCCGCAAACAAACUUAUUUUCCAUAAGAUGUGGUAAUUACUCGAUAAAAGAAGUUAUAUAAUAUAAGCUCGGAGCUGUCAGGAUUCCUCAUGUUCCUAGCGGCAUUUAGCACACUGAGAGUUGAAUAAUUUCCACAUGCUCAAGUUCAAACUUAUAAGAUAUAACCAUCUAAUCUUGAUCCGCUUGUCUGGGAGUUAUGGUGGCAUGCCACCUGUUUGUCUCGAUACAUUAAGCUGGUUGACUUAUAUUGAAGAUUCCAGUUUUCCUUCAGAUCGGAAACCACGGGAGACAAUUUCUGCUUAGUUGGACAAUUUAUACAGCGAAAUGUGCUUGGAAGAAUACUGAUUUGGCAAUGUCCUCUUGCCCUUGUAUAUAUACAAGGUUGAAAUGUUUGAUUUGAACGACUUCUCUGCAGCAGAGUUUGCAUAAGCAACAGAGAAAAGCUUCCUCUAUCAAACAGAGCCAUAAAAAAAAAAGGGGAAUGGCUGAUUCACUUGAGAUUUCUAAAACCACAGGCCACUUUCGCUCAAUCAGCUUGCCUUCCAGAAGUCACCCUCUAGCAACCGCUGUCGAACAGCAGUUGCAGAGGCUGAGAUCAUCAGACGCAACCUCUUCAUCUCCGGCCUCAUCGGCACCCCAAAAGUUAGGAGGCCUCAGAGAUCUGUAUGACUGCAUUGAUGAUUGGCUUUACAUGCCUCUAAACCAGCAGGUUCUUUCCCAUGAACACCAUAGGAGUUCUAUGGAAGAGUUGUCGGAUGGAUCUGUGAAGCUAUUGGACGUCUGUGGGAACGUAAAAGAUAUUUUUUUCACAGACAAAGGAAUGCAUCCAGGAACUCGAGUCAUCAUUCCGGAGAAGGAGAGGAGGAGACCCUGAAAAGGCGAGUGAAGUCUAGACAUACAUCAAAUCUAGGAGAAAAUUGCAGAAAGUGGUCACAAAACUUUUGGAUCUGUUAGAA
Molecule: long non-coding RNA, 1333 nt
Organism: Syzygium oleosum
Lineage: Eukaryota; Viridiplantae; Streptophyta; Magnoliopsida; Myrtales; Myrtaceae
Exons: 2
Source: RefSeq, a predicted model, not a curated record